AGGGUUUGAUCAUGGCUCAGAUUGAACGCUGGCGGCAGGCCUUAUACAUGCAAGUCGAACGGAAACGAUGCUAGCUUGCUAGCAGGCGUCGAGUGGCGGACGGGUGAGUAACACGUGGGAAUCUGCCUAUUAGUGGGGGAUAAGCUGGGGAAACCCAGUCUAAUACCGCAUACGCACUACGGUGGAAAGGGGCCCUCUCCUUGGAAGGUCUCGCUAAUAGAUGAGCCCGCGUCGGAUUAGCUAGUUGGUGGGGUAAAGGCCCACCAAGGCGACGAUCCGUAGCUGGUCUGAGAGGAUGAUCAGCCACACUGGGACUGAGACACGGCCCAGACUCCUACGGGAGGCAGCAGUAGGGAAUAUUGCACAAUGGGCGCAAGCCUGAUGCAGCCAUGCCGCGUGUGUGAAGAAGGCCUUCGGGUUGUAAAGCACUUUCAGCAGGGAGGAAAGGUUGUAAAUUAAUACUUUGCAGCUGUGACGUUACCUGCAGAAGAAGCACCGGCUAACUCCGUGCCAGCCGCCGCGGUAAUAC
This 529-nucleotide ribosomal RNA is filed under the name uncultured bacterium. Its description in RNAcentral is "bacterial SSU rRNA". It matches the Rfam family "Bacterial small subunit ribosomal RNA", at positions 8 to 526 of the family's 1533-position model. The record is from RNAcentral.